UGAAUUGACGGGGCCCGCACAAGCGGAGGAGCAUGUGGUUUAAUUCGAUGAUACGCGAGGAACCUUACCUGGGCUCGAACGUAAGAUGACUGUAGGUGAAAGCUUACAUCUCUUCGGAGCAUUUUACGAGGUGCUGCAUGGUUGUCGUCAGCUCGUGCCGUGAGGUGUCGGGUUAAGUCCCAUAACGAGCGCAACCCCUACCUUUAGUUGCCAUCAGGUUAAGCUGGGGACUCUAAAGGAACUGCCUACGCAAGUAGUGAGGAAGGCGGGGAUGACGUCAAAUCAGCACGGCCCUUACGUCCAGGGCUACACACGUGCUACAAUGGCCGAUACAGAGGGCAGCUACCUGGUGACAGGAUGCAAAUCUCCAAAGUCGGUCUCAGUUCGGAUCGGAGUCUGCAACCCGACUCCGUGAAGUUGGAUUCGCUAGUAAUCGCGCAUCAGCCAUGGCGCGGUGAAUACGUUCCCGGGCCUU
Molecule: ribosomal RNA, 475 nt
Filed under: uncultured Sphingobacteriales bacterium
Lineage: Bacteria; Pseudomonadati; Bacteroidota; Sphingobacteriia; Sphingobacteriales
Description: bacterial SSU rRNA
Rfam family: Bacterial small subunit ribosomal RNA
Source: RNAcentral